GAUCUAACGUGAAGGGAAUGUUGUUAGACUAAGAUCUAACAGGGAGGAAAUACGUUAGUGACAACGAUCUAACGUGACGGGAAUGUUGUUAGACUAAGAUCUAACGGGGAGGGAAUACGUUAGUGACAACGAUCUAACGUGAAGGGAAUGUUGUUAGACUAAGAUCUAACAGGGAGGGAAUACGUUAGUGACAACGAUCUAACCUCUGAAGGGAAUGUUGUUAGACUAAGAUCUAACGGGGAGGGAAUACGUUAGUGACAACGAUCUAACAUGACGGGAAUGUUGUUAGACUAAGAUCUAACAGGGAGGGAAUACGUUAGUGACAACGAUCUAACGUGAAGGGAAUGUUGUUAGACUAAGAUCUAACGGAGGAAAUACGUUAGUGACAACGAUCUAACGUGAAGGGAAUGUUGUUAGACUAAGAUCUAACGGGGAGGGAAUACGUUAGUGACAACGAUCUAACGUGAAGGGAAUGUUGUUAGACUAAGAUCUAACAGGGAGGGAAUACGUUAGUGACAACGAUCUAACGUGAAGGGAAUGUUGUUAGACUAAGAUCUAACGGGGAGGGAAUACGUUAGUGACAACGAUCUAACGUGAAGGGAAUGUUGUUAGACUAAGAUCUAACAGGGAGGAAAUACGUUAGUGACAACGAUCUAACGUGAAGGGAAUGUUGUUAGACUAAGAUCUAACGGGGAGGGAAUACGUUAGUGACACCGAUCUAACGUGAAGGGAAUGUUGUUAGACUAAGAUCUAACAGGGAGGGAAUACGUUAGUGACAACGAUCUAACGUGAAGGGAAUGUUGUUAGACUAAGAUCUAACGGGGAGGGAAUACGUUAGUGACAACGAUCUAACGUGAAGGGAAUGUUGUUAGACUAAGAUCUAACAGGGAGGGAAUACGUUAGUGACAACGAUCUAACGUGAAGGGAAUGUUGUUAGACUAAGAUCUAACGGGGAGGGAAUACGUUAGUGACAACGAUCUAACGUGAAGGGAAUGUUGUUAGACUAAGAUCUAACAGGGAGGGAAUACGUUAGUGACAGUGAUCUAACGUGAAGGGAAUGUUGUUAGACUAAGAUCUAACGGGGAGGGAAUACGUUAGUGACAACGAUCUAACGUGAAGGGAAUGUUGUUAGACUAAGAUCUAACAGGGAGGGAAUACGUUAGUGACAACGAUCUAACGUGAAGGGAAUGUUGUUAGACUAAGAUCUAACGGGGAGGGAAUACGUUAGUGACAACGAUCUAACGUGGAGGGAAUGUUUUUAGACUAAGAUCUAACAGGAAAGGAAUAACCAGAGACUACGAUCCAACAAAUGCUAACAAAUUGCAAAAUAACAAAGAUUGCUAUUUUGUGUAAUGAGAUUUUUUUUUCUUAUUUAUCACUUUGAUAUUAUCAUGUUCAAGUUUCCUUGUGGCUAUGGCCACAUAUGGAUCUGAAGUAGAAAUUAGACGAUGUGAAAAGAAAGGCAGUACAAUAUACAAUAUCUUAGUAUUUCUAGAAUUGUUAUAUGUAAGAAUUUUGUGCUUUGCUAGUGUCCAACUAUGAAUCCUUUUCUGCCAAGAAUCCAUGACAAAGAUCCAAGGUUUGCGGAAGUUUUUACCUCAGCACCGAAACGCCAAGAGAAUUAAAUGUUGGCCAAUAAAAGCUGUUUAGUGUAUGUGAAUUUUCUUUUUUAAAGAUAAUGCCCACUUAAGUUAACUUCAUUUUUUUUCUGUAGAAAGUUCUGACUAGGAUUAAAAAAGCUGAAAUUUGAACUUCAGGGUAUUUGUAAGUUUGAAAUUAUUACAUGAUAAGCCCAGACUCUACUUUACAGCUCUGCUUAGACCAUCACCACCACUUUUGCCAACUGACCAUCACACUAUAUAGAAUUUUGUUAUAGUUUUUUGAAAUGAUGGAGUAAAUGUCCAUCAAUCUAAUAAAAAGUUGAAGCGUCACCAUACUGAGAUUUAGUACAGAAGUGCUGUUAUAGCUAAUGUUAACAAUUAAGAACAAUCCGCUAUCGAUAUGCUAUUUUAAUGUUACAACAGAAAAAAUGUAGUUGGACAUUGACAGAAUAGCUAAAUUUUGAUUUCUCUUGCUCGUGUCGUUAAAUAUCAUUCCACAAAAAACUUUUAUAUAUAAUGUCAUGAAAGCAAGGGAAAAUACCCAAACUAUCUAAACAUUGAAAUUUCAGACAAGCAAGCAAGCAUAUUUUCUUCAAAGUAAAAGUUGUAAUUGUACAUUCCACAUGUUUGAAAUGUUGAAAAUUAUAGCUUAUGCCACUUUUUAUUUUGUGUUAAAAAAAAUUUUGUGUUAUUAAUACAUCCUAUAAAUAUUAUUUUUUCAGCUGCGGUGUACUUUGUUCCAGAACAUUAUCCUGUAAAUAUGACACAUGUUGAAACAGGAUUUUUCUACCAGACAACCAUCCGUAAAUUUAUGAUUGGCAAUUUAUCAGAGAAUUACAGCUUCUUGUCACAUUUGGAAUUGUUUGCAACUUCAACUUUGAUAUUCUCAAAGUGCUUCAUACGUCGGAGAAACCGAUGGUGGAGAAACUGCCCAAAGAAGAGAGAACAGCAUUAAUAAAAAUUCGACAACAGUAGCGUCGAAAUGUGGCAACAAGGCGACAAUUCAGAAAUGGCAUUAUCUAUAGGUUCCAAUGAAUAAUUAUUUAUUUAAAUUUAUAAUAGUCAACCUCCUCACGGGCUCCAUGAUUAAGAACCCUUGAAUCUAUUCAAUACUGCAAAAUAUGGCAGACUAAAACAGGACAGAUAGGCUCAAUUCAUUCUCACUAUUGUAUUUAGAGCAGUGCUUUCAAGUCUCUUUUCAGGAUUAUCUCAUCUGACAUAAAUGUUUCUGUAACCUUAGUUAUGUCCAUCCAGCAAUAUGGGGCUUAGCAUAUCAUCUUUCUGUGUAACCAAUUUAUUCAGUCAGCAGUGCAAACUGGACAGGAAAAAACAAGAGACAAUGGUGAUAGGCCCAAAGAAGCAUAAAACGCAUGUGCUGUAAUGUGACAAACUGUUUGCUAUUCAUAUACGCAUGGAAUUGGGUCAAUAGUCUGGUAUUAAAUGAUGUACUACAGAUGAAGCAGCUACUCACAUUAAAAACAUAUUAAACGGAGUUUCUACCCGUGAUGGAGAAAGUUCUAAAAGUGCUGCUGCAUUACAACUUGGUGAUAAAGUUUGAUUGGUCUGCAAAGUGACUCGCUUCAAGAUUUGGGGAAUAGUGCAUCUUGGUAUUGAUGUUAGGCCGGGUUCAUAUCUUGCCAGUGGUUGUACAAAAAUGGUUGAGGUCACAGAACUUGUUUGACCGACGAUCAGUCGUGAUUAGGCUUUUAAAUUGGCUCUUUUGUUUUAAUUCGAAUAGCAGUGAAAUACAAUAAACACGUGUUGUGAAAUGUAAAAAAAUGCAAUAUUUUCAAAUCAAGGCGGUCACAUUGCCAGGUUUCGGAAUGUUGGAUCACCCAAGGCUUGGACUGCACGCGAGUUCGAUUUGGCUAUCUUGCUGUAUUUAAAAACAUUUUAUGUCAUCAGUAUUCAACACUAGAUGUAGCUUUGAACAAAAGCUUGUGUUAUUAGAGUUGGCCUCUUGAACAAUUAAUUACCCCAAUUUCGGAGUUUUAUGCCCAUUUCAGUAACGAAAACAAAAUUAAUUUUUCCCAAAAUCCGAACAAAGACUUCCCGUAGGAAUCAAAUUACUCCACGUUUAAGAACAUAACAAGUUGCGUCCUGUCAUUAUCAAAUUAAAAUUUUAUAUUCUCAAGACCUUUGACACUGAUUGAAAUAAUUAUAUUUAAGUUCCCAUCCGUACGACGUACAUGAUUACCCAUAUUAAAAUAAUAAUAAGAGUUUCUGUUUGCACUAUAUAUACUCAAUCAAACAGCAAUAAUAUUAAAAACGUGAUUAUCUUUCAAUAGGAAGCUAGUCUUGAUAAAUUUUACGACUGUACUCUGUGUGUUGUGGAAAUCUAUGAAUAAAAUCAAAUAGUUUUCUAACGUACCUUCAUUCACGUGGGCGUUAACGCUGAAGGGUGUGUGAAUGGACGACUUGCAAUACUGAGACGGUCUACAAAUUAGCACUAUACGGUGACAUCACAUUCAUUUACAAUAUAUUUGAUAUAGUAUAAUCAUUGGAUUACAUUAUUUUUGCACCCAUGACUAUUGCAUCUGCAUACUCUUAUACCCACGAACAUUUGCAUCCACGUACAGAAUGCACCCAUGAACAUUUGAACCUUGGACCCAUGGGCAUUUGUACCUACAGACAUUUGAACCCAACGGAC
Styela clava is the source of this 4251-nucleotide non-coding RNA. NCBI's taxonomy places the organism in Eukaryota, Metazoa, Chordata, Ascidiacea, Stolidobranchia, Styelidae. The record is from RefSeq and is a predicted model, not a curated record.